UACGGAGGGUGCGAGCGUUGUUCGGAGUUACUGGGCGUAAAGGGUGUGUAGGCGGUUGUUUAAGUUUGGUGUGAAAUCUCCCGGCUCAACUGGGAGGGUGCGCCGAAUACUGAAUGACUUGGAGUGCGGGAGAGGUGAGUGGAAUUCCUGGUGUAGCGGUGAAAUGCGUAGAUAUCAGGAGGAACACCGGUGGUGUAGACGGCUCACUGGACCGUAACUGACGCUGAGACACGAAAGCGUGGGUAGCAAACAGG
Molecule: ribosomal RNA, 254 nt
Filed under: uncultured bacterium
Lineage: Bacteria
Description: partial 16S ribosomal RNA
Rfam family: Bacterial small subunit ribosomal RNA
Source: RNAcentral